UCCCUGGUGGUCAAGUGGUUAAGACUCUGUGCUUCCAUUGCAAAGACACGGGUUUGAUUCUUGGUCAGGGAA
RNAcentral lists this transfer RNA (72 nucleotides) under Bos taurus (domestic cattle). It matches the Rfam family "tRNA". From Rfam's summary of the family: Transfer RNA (tRNA) molecules are approximately 80 nucleotides in length. Their secondary structure includes four short double-helical elements and three loops (D, anti-codon, and T loops). RNAcentral also lists the same sequence under 4 other names. The record is from Rfam by way of RNAcentral. Lineage: Eukaryota; Metazoa; Chordata; Mammalia; Artiodactyla; Bovidae.